Molecule: ribosomal RNA, 498 nt
Filed under: uncultured bacterium
Lineage: Bacteria
Description: partial 16S ribosomal RNA
Rfam family: Bacterial small subunit ribosomal RNA
Source: RNAcentral
AUUGAACGCUGGCGGCAUGCCAUACGCAUGCAAGUCGAACGGUAACAGGUCUUCGGAUGCUGACGAGUGGCGAACGGGUGAGUAAUACAUCGGAACGUGCCUAGUAGUGGGGGAUAACUACUCGAAAGAGUGGCUAAUACCGCAUGAGAUCUACGGAUGAAAGCAGGGGAUCGCAAGACCUUGUGCUACUAGAGCGGCCGAUGGCAGAUUAGGUAGUUGGUGGGGUAAAAGCUUACCAAGCCGACGAUCUGUAGCUGGUCUGAGAGGACGAUCAGCCACAUGGGGACGGAGAACCGGCCCGGACUCCUGCGUGAGGCAGCAGUAGGGAAUUUUGGACAAUGGGGGAAAGCAUGAUCCAGAAAUGCCGCGUGAAGGAUGAAGGCCUUCGGGUUGUAAACUGCUUUUGUACGGAACGAAAAGCCCCGGGUUAAUACCCUGGGGUCAUGACGGUACCGUAAGAAUAAGCACCGGCUAACUACGUGCCAGCCGCCGCAGUAA